Molecule: ribosomal RNA, 440 nt
Filed under: uncultured bacterium
Lineage: Bacteria
Description: partial 16S ribosomal RNA
Rfam family: Bacterial small subunit ribosomal RNA
Source: RNAcentral
CCUACGGGAGGCAGCAGUGGGGAAUAUUGCACAAUGGGGGAAACCCUGAUGCAGCGACGCCGCGUGAGUGAAGAAGUAUCUCGGUACGUAAAGCACUAUCAGCAGGAAAGAAAAUGAAGGUACCUGACUAAGAAGCCACGGCUAACUACGUGCCAGCAGCCGCGGUAAUACGUAGGGGGCAGUCGUUCUCCGGAUUUACUGGGUGUAAAGGGAGCGUAGACGGCGCUGCAAGUCCGGAGUGAAAGUCCAUGGCUUAACCAUGGUACUGCUCUGGAAACUGUAGAGCUUGAGUGCGGGAGGGGCGAGCGGAAUUCCUAGUGUAGCGGUGAAAUGCGUAGAUAUUAGGAGGAACACCGGCGGCGAAGGCGGCCUGCUGGACCGUAACUGACGUUGAGGCUCGAAAGCGUGGGGAGCAAACAGGAUUAGAUACCCGGGUAGUC